RNAcentral lists this ribosomal RNA (1258 nucleotides) under metagenome. Its description in RNAcentral is "bacterial LSU rRNA". It matches the Rfam family "Bacterial large subunit ribosomal RNA", at positions 1635 to 2889 of the family's 2925-position model. The record is from RNAcentral.
UAUACGACCGUACCGCAAACCGACACUGGUGCGCGAGAUGAGUAUUCUAAGGCGCUUGAGAGAACUCAGGAGAAGGAACUCGGCAAAUUGACACCGUAACUUCGGAAGAAGGUGUGCCCUAUUAGUGUGUAGUGAACAACGAAGCAUGAAUGGGUUGCAAAAAAUCGGUGGCUGCGACUGUUUAUUAAAAACACAGCACUCUGCAAACACGAAAGUGGACGUAUAGGGUGUGACGCCUGCCCGGUGCUGGAAGAUUAAAUGAUGGGGUGCAAGCUCUUGAUUGAAGUCCCAGUAAACGGCGGCCGUAACAAUAACGGUCCUAAGGUAGCGAAAUUCCUUGUCGGGUAAGUUCCGACCUGCACGAAUGGCGUAACGAUGGCCACACUGUCUCCUCCUGAGACUCAGCGAAGUUGAAAUGUUUGUGAUGAUGCAAUCUCCCCGCGGAAAGACGGAAAGACCCCAUGAACCUUUACUGUAGCUUUGUAUUGGACUUUGAACAGAUCUGUGUAGGAUAGGUGGGAGGCUUUGAAGCAGGGUCGCUAGAUCUUGUGGAGCCAACGUUGAAAUACCACCCUGGUGUGUUUGAGGUUCUAACCUAGGUCCAUUAUCUGGAUCGGGGACAGUGCAUGGUAGGCAGUUUGACUGGGGCGGUCUCCUCCCAAAGCGUAACGGAGGAGUUCGAAGGUACGCUAGUUACGGUCGGACAUCGUGACGAUAGUGCAAUGGCAUAAGCGUGCUUAACUGCGAGACUGACAAGUCGAGCAGAUGCGAAAGCAGGACAUAGUGAUCCGGUGGUUCUGUAUGGAAGGGCCAUCGCUCAACGGAUAAAAGGUACUCUGGGGAUAACAGGCUGAUACCGCCCAAGAGUUCAUAUCGACGGCGGUGUUUGGCACCUCGAUGUCGGCUCAUCUCAUCCUGGGGCUGUAGCCGGUCCCAAGGGUAUGGCUGUUCGCCAUUUAAAGAGGUACGUGAGCUGGGUUUAAAACGUCGUGAGACAGUUUGGUCCCUAUCUUCCGUGGGCGCUGCAGAUUUGAGGAAGCCUGCUCCUAGUACGAGAGGACCGGAGUGGACACACCUCUGGUGUAUCGGUUGUCACGCCAGUGGCAUUGCCGAGUAGCUAAGUGUGGAAGAGAUAACCGCUGAAAGCAUCUAAGCGGGAAACUCGUUUCAAGAUGAGAUCUGCCGGGGCCUUGAGCCCCCUAAAGAGUCGUUCAAGACCAGGACGUUGAUAGGUCAGGUGUGGAAGCGAAAAUAAAGA